AUGCGGCGGAAGGGGCAAUGGAUGCACAAGAAGGGUCCACAAGAGCGUCGGAGCAGUCAAUUGGAUAGACCGACCCUAGAGCUCCUGGCCGGAAAAGAAGAACUAGUGGUGAGAGUAGGUGCUGCUGUCCCAGUAAGGAUGCCAUGUCCUAACCGGACUACUGCUCUGGAGAAGGCUAUCCAUGGUUUUGCCGACAAUCUUGGGGACAAUGUCAUAGUGCCAACUUUGGGUACAACCUUUGAUUCUCUGGGUGAAGCAUACGACUUCUAUAACCUAUAUUUGUGGAUAAAUGAUUUGGCAUUAGAUACGACAAAAGGUCGAAUUGCUGAGACGACAGGGGUGGAGAGGGGCGACUCCAUUGGCGGUGAUGGAGUUGCUGAUGCGACCCAUGAGCAGGGUUGCAGAUUCCCCUUUCUGGAGGAAUUGGAUGAGAGUGCAACCCCGAUGGAACCGGCAGCGUUCACAGUGGUUCGUUUGGUACCGGCUGCCGAGCAAUCGGCGGGACUAGCCAUGAGCGCGGACAAGCAGGUUGUGAGGAAGACAUGGCAAAAGGUGAGUGAUGCUGUCAUACGUGUAUUGACGUCCCCUUGGGGUUCAGAACAUUCAGACAGCUUGGAGCAUGUUGUUACUAAUUUGAAGCUGCGCAAUGGAAUCGAGAUCAUGAUGCUCAAUCUUGAUCUGGUUGCUGGGAUGAAAAGAGACAAGACGAAUCUUGAAGAGGAAGACUGUUCGGUGGGGAGACGGAUGGCAGUAAAUGGGCCAGCGAAGGUAGCAGGCAUUGAAACAGAAGUCUGGGCCACGGCCCAGGCCGUUGGCAGCCAUCUGAGCCGGCGCUAG
This 837-nucleotide ribosomal RNA is filed under the name Triticum aestivum (bread wheat). RNAcentral describes it as "partial small subunit ribosomal RNA". Lineage: Eukaryota; Viridiplantae; Streptophyta; Magnoliopsida; Poales; Poaceae. The record is from RNAcentral.